AGACUCCCCCGCCUGCGACUUGUACCACUCAUGAUGAAGAAGGUGAUUCACCCAGGGCGAAGCUCAGCCAUUGCACUCCAGGUCUUGCUGACCCCUGCGAAUUCCCCAAAUGUUAGGAAUCUCGACCGCAUCAUUUCUGUUAAUGUGCACUGGGUUGGCUUUCAUGGCAUA
Molecule: small nuclear RNA, 171 nt
Organism: Mugil cephalus (flathead mullet)
Lineage: Eukaryota; Metazoa; Chordata; Actinopteri; Mugiliformes; Mugilidae
Product: U1 spliceosomal RNA
Exons: 1
Source: RefSeq, a predicted model, not a curated record